This 464-nucleotide ribosomal RNA is filed under the name uncultured bacterium. RNAcentral describes it as "bacterial SSU rRNA". It matches the Rfam family "Bacterial small subunit ribosomal RNA", at positions 29 to 480 of the family's 1533-position model. The record is from RNAcentral.
AACGAACGCUGGCGGCGCGCCUAAUACAUGCAAGUCGAGCGAGAAGACGUAGCAAUACGUUUGUAAAGCGGCGAACGGGUGAGGAAUACAUGGGUAACCUACCCUCGAGUGGGGAAUAACUAGCCGAAAGGUUAGCUAAUACCGCGUACGCUCCUUGGACUUCGGUUCAGGGAGGAAAGCGAUACCGUGGGUAUCGCGCUCUUGGAUGGGCUCAUGUCCUAUCAGCUUGUUGGUGAGGUAACGGCUCACCAAGGCUUCGACGGGUAGCUGGUCUGAGAGGACGAUCAGCCACACUGGCACUGCGACACGGGCCAGACUCCUACGGGAGCAGCAGUAAGGAAUAUUGCGCAAUGGGCGAAAGCCUGACCCAGCAACGCCGCGUGAAGGAUGAAAUCCCUCGGGAUGUAAACUUCGCAAGAAUAGAAGAAUUAGUAGGGCUAAUACCCUCUAUGAUGACGGUACUA